Molecule: transfer RNA, 69 nt
Filed under: Sus scrofa (pig)
Lineage: Eukaryota; Metazoa; Chordata; Mammalia; Artiodactyla; Suidae
Rfam family: tRNA
About the family: Transfer RNA (tRNA) molecules are approximately 80 nucleotides in length. Their secondary structure includes four short double-helical elements and three loops (D, anti-codon, and T loops).
Source: Rfam by way of RNAcentral
GAGAAAGACACAGCAAUUAUGAAGUUGGUUUGAAACCAGUUGGAGAAGGCUCGAUUCCUUCCUUUCUUA